UACGAAGGGGACUAGCGUUGUUCGGAUUUACUGGGCGUAAAGCGCGCGUAGGCGGAUCGCUAAGUCAGGGGUGAAAUGCCAAGGCUCAACCUCGGAACUGCCUUUGAUACUGCGGGUCUUGAGUCCGAUAGAGGUGGGUGGAAUUCCUAGUGUAGAGGUGAAAUUCGUAGAUAUUAGGAAGAACACCGGUGGCGAAGGCGGCCCACUGGAUCGGUACUGACGCUGAGGUGCGAAAGCGUGGGGAGCAAACAGG
RNAcentral lists this ribosomal RNA (253 nucleotides) under uncultured bacterium. RNAcentral's name for it is "partial 16S ribosomal RNA". It matches the Rfam family "Bacterial small subunit ribosomal RNA", at positions 524 to 776 of the family's 1533-position model. The record is from RNAcentral.